Molecule: small nucleolar RNA, 76 nt
Organism: Balaenoptera musculus (blue whale)
Lineage: Eukaryota; Metazoa; Chordata; Mammalia; Artiodactyla; Balaenopteridae
Source: Ensembl
UGGACCGAUGAUGACAGCUAGUGACGUAUGAGUUGUAUAUGAUGAGUACUUGUGUGUCUGAAACUCUGAGGUCCAG